UACGAACCGAGCGAGCGUUGUUCGGAAUCACUGGGCUUAAAGGGCGCGUAGGCGGGUGGUCAAGUCCGUGGUGAAAUCCUCCGGCUCAACCGGAGAACUGCCUCGGAUACUGGGCGCCUCGAGGGUGGUAGGGGUAUGCGGAACUCUCGGUGGAGCGGUGAAAUGCGUAGAUAUCGAGAGGAACACCUGCGGCGAAGGCGGGUUGCUGGGCUGACACUGACGCUGAGGCGCGAAAGCGUGGGGAGCAAACAGG
RNAcentral lists this ribosomal RNA (253 nucleotides) under uncultured bacterium. Its description in RNAcentral is "partial 16S ribosomal RNA". It matches the Rfam family "Bacterial small subunit ribosomal RNA", at positions 524 to 776 of the family's 1533-position model. The record is from RNAcentral.